This 355-nucleotide unclassified non-coding RNA is filed under the name soil metagenome. RNAcentral's name for it is "partial contains 5.8S ribosomal RNA, internal transcribed spacer 2, and large subunit ribosomal RNA". The stretch from base 1 to 120 matches the Rfam family "5.8S ribosomal RNA", at positions 35 to 154 of the family's 154-position model. The record is from RNAcentral.
GAUGAAGAACGUAGCGAAAUGCGAUAAGUAAUGUGAAUUGCAGAAUUCAGUGAAUCAUCGAAUCUUUGAACGCACAUUGCGCCCAUUAGUAUUCUAGUGGGCAAGCCUGUUCGAGCGUCAUUAAGUCCACUUAAGCCCUGCUUAGUGUUGGGAGACUGCUCCAGCGGUGCUACCCUGUAGCUACCCUGCAGCUCCUCAAAGACAGCGGCGGAGUUGUGGUAUCCUCUGAGCUUAGUAACUUGUUCUAGCUUUCGAGUACACCACUUCCCCUGCCGUAAAACCCUUAAUUUUUAAUGGUUGACCUCGGAUCAGGUAGGAAUACCCGCUGAACUUAAGCAUAUCAAUAAGCGGAGGA